Long non-coding RNA from Vespula vulgaris, 3000 nucleotides. RefSeq lists it as uncharacterized. Lineage: Eukaryota; Metazoa; Arthropoda; Insecta; Hymenoptera; Vespidae. The transcript has 2 exons. The record is from RefSeq and is a predicted model, not a curated record.
CAGUCGUUCUCAUAGUCGACAAACUCUACGUAAAAUUUAACUUCCAAUCACCAUAAUGCUUUGGGAAACGAACCAAUCGAGGCAAAGAUUCGACGAAGGAGAAUCGACCCAUCCAGUGUUUACAAUUACAUCGAUUAAUUAGAAGAUGGAUACUACCGCAAGUUUCGCUACUAGUUGACUGUCGCAGUUCAAAACAUCACGAAAUCAGAGGUAAAAUGCAGCUAUUCCUCGAAAUAAAGCUAAGUCUAGACGUACGAGGAGUAGAGGAACGGCAGACACAAACACAUGCACGAGAUGAAUAUGAUGAAUCCAUGGAACCUCAUUUUCAUUAUCAACACGCAACGCUCUAAGCAUUAGAGCUGGCGAGAACGCACACCACAUCGAAUGAGAUUUUAUUGGCUAUCUCUGCAACAAGCCAGAGAUAGAAUCAUGUUGGAUCAAUGACAAGACAACCUUCGCUGAAGCUACCCUUUGCUGGUUAAUAUUUUCUAUAUAAAUGGCUGCAUAGGCCAUCUUCCAUCGAAUAUUUGUUAUUCUAGAAAAAUUCAAGUGUAAUACAAUAUAAAUGUAAUUGACUAUUAAGACGCUUAGAGUCAUCUAAGAUUCAUCUUAAGAUAUCAUCUAUAGUUAUCUAAGAUAAUUAUCUCUAUAGAUUAAUAUCUCUAUAGAUUAAUAUUGGAACGAAGAAAAAAUAUAGAUAUUUGGAAAAAUCUGGUAUUACUGGCUUUUUCAUAUCUGCAUGGACUUUGUACUUAAGAAAUUUUGACGCUGUACUCCUUACGAAAGCAUAAGAUUUCAUUAGCAUACGAACCUAUUUGAAGUUGUAAAUAAAAUUGAUUUUAAAACAUAAUUUUAAAUCGGAAUGUUUUAAAUCGAUAUAUUUAAAUUGAUCGACCGUAGAUCAGUCUUUAAAUUUAUGCUUUGUAUAAGAUAUUAAUAUAUAUUCAAUUUAAAUAAGUUUGUAUUUAAGUAAUUAUAUUUACGAAAGUGUUUAGUAGCAGAACGUUCGUAUAUAGGUACAUGUAUAUGAAAGAAAUUUACCUGUUCUGUAAGAAUUACAGUGCUAGAAGCGACUAGUAGCCCUUCAUCUACUAUUGCUUUAGCCGGAAGAAUGAUGAAAAUGAGUAGGUAUAAUACAAGCCCCGCUAUCCAUUCAUAGUCCCAUCUUUUUAAGGCGGAUGCUACGUUAAAUAAUAUCAUAAAUUAUAAGUAUAAUUUUAAAGGAAUGUUUUAUGAUAUUUUUUCAAUAAUAAAAAACCAUUUUAUUGUUACAUAAUGGCAGAAAAUGAAGACGUUUGUGAGUCCAAAUAUAGAACGGAAUGUAAAUUCCAAGUGUCGUUAUGUUAAAAAAAUCAGUAAGUAAUGGAUUUCUUUUUACAAAUUGUUUCUCUGGUAAGAUACUUUCCUUUGAUAAUUGUCUGCAAACAAGAUAAAAAAGAUAAAAAUAAUAUUUCAUAUUAAAUAUAUUUGCAUUAUAUGAAAAAAUGAUCGAAUUUGGUGAGAAUUUUAUAAAUUAAUCAAUUUGACAAUUUAUAAUUAUAUUGAUGUACAGUAAAUUCAUUAUUUCAAAGAGAUUCGAAUAAAAUAUUCGUUAAUUUAAUUAUAAAUAAAAAUGUUUUUCUUUGAAGUACUAGACCUCGAUAAAUUAUGAUUGAAAAUGUUUUUUAUUAAAAUGACUUGUUUAACUAAGAGUAAAAGAAAUAGGCAAAAUUGUUAAUAAAACAAUUAUUAGAAUGUACAUGGACAUCUAUUAAAUUUGAUAUGAAGAAUUCUUUUAUUUUCAUUUUUAUAUUUCGUGAAAUCAAGAAUGAAUUUUUGAAAUUUCUGAAUAAUAAACAAAUUCAUUUUAUGUAUUCAUAUUUGCACACAUUACGUAUAGAUAAAUAAUUAUAUUUAUAGAUUUAUUGUUAAUAAAAUGGAUUAAUUAAUUUAUUAAAUAAAAUAAAUGCAAAAAAUCUAAUGAUCGAAGUAUAAUAAAAUAAUCGAUAAAUGAUCAUACAUUGCAAGAAUCAUGAAUUAACAUAAUUUUAUAUUUACAUGAUACUAUGGUGAUAGUAUAUAAGAAAGAAAACUAUUACGUAGUAGUAUGUUAUAAUAACACGUACACUUAAUAACAUGAUAGUACGUAUGAAUGCUGUAUAUAUAUGACACAAAUAAAAUCAAUGACAUAUAAUGCCUUUAUAUAUACAAACAAGAAAGGUGAGCCUUUCGCAAUCAAUAUUAAUAUAAAAACUUUAUUUUGUUUUAAUUUCUCAACAAUUACUAUUAAUUUUGUUUAAUCCAGGUGAAAUUUUAUUUAGUUGCUCUUUAUGUUUUGACAAAAAAUGUAAGCUACUUAACUUAUUGAAAUAUUAACUAUAGAACAAUCUACAAGGCUUUAAACAAGUGAAAAAAAGAGUGAAAGUCGCUAUACGAUCUACGUGACGUACUAUGCGAGGGAAAAUAAAAGGAAAAAUAAAUAAAAUUUAUAAAAAUUGGACUCGAAUGGAUACAUAAACAUUCGCAAUCGGUGAUUUUAUAAUGAGAAUGCUAGCUGAAAUCCAUGUACAAUUUUCAAUCGUCUAUAACUAAAAGUUAUAAUAAUAUAUAAUAAUGGGUGACAUAAUAGAAGCAUUUAAAUAAUACUACUUAUAAGUUACUGAACAUAAUACCAGUAUUAAGUUUCUGCUUUAAAUGUGUUACUUUUUUUUUUACAUUUCUGGAGAAAAAUUAAACGAAUUUGAUAAAAUUUAAAAGAAUUUGAAUAUACUAAAAACUUUCAAAUACAAAAGCCAAAAUUAUGAAAUAUCUUAUAAUUACAAUAUGAAACGAAUCUUUUAUUACAGUAUUUGUCAUCAAAAUUAUCCGAUAUCUGUAGUAUCUGUCGAAUUUACUCCAUAUUUCCGAUAUCAUAUCAUAAAUGCAAUUAUUAAAUUUCCCAAUAAUGUUAUUCAAAAUUUUCUACAAGAAACACAAUGUAAAUAACUUUAAUAAAUAUCUACAUACUUUCUCUGCGUUAAA